UCCACCAUCUCUCUCAUUUUCUCAUUUUCUUCAACCAGUUUUUCGUCCAUCUCUCUGUCUCUUACCAAAUCAUGCUUGUCCACCGUCUCCCGCUGGGCAUUCGGCAAAGCAGGUAGGGACACUUCACCCAUCUCAAUAGAGGUUGCUUCCCCAGUAGCAUGUAACUCGUUAGCCUGGUUAUCUAACUUGCAGGAUGGGAUAUGUUCGAGUACACAUGGGUCUUGUAGCACGUCUUCUGCCAUUUUAUUUUUCGUAUCUGCAGUUUGUUGUUCAUUUUCAUUGGUUACCAUCUCGUUUUUUAUGUUCUCAUUACGGUAGGAUUCUGAUAAUUCCCCUAGCGAUUCUGCAGAUUGAUCACAUGCUCGUCUAGCCUGGUGGUUGUCCCACUCAUCUUCCAGCACCUUCUCCACCUCAUCUGUCUGUUGUCUGUCUUCAUCGGUUAACAAUUCGUUUUGGAUGAUCAGGUCAUCAUUAGAGUUUGAUUGCUCCCCUGGCAGUGCUGCAGAUUCAUCAGGUGCUCCUUGCUUCUCAGUAGGGCUUCCGUCACUAUCUAGUUUGACUGCUAAAUUAUGUGAAUUCUCUUCAGCCUCUGAUACCCCUCUCCUCAUCUCAACGUGCUCAAGCUUGUCAGUUUCGGGUUUAUUUGAAUUGCCAUCCUCUCUCAUUGGAAGUUCCAUAUCUGCAGCCUUUUCAUAAGGUGUUGAAAUGGUUAUCUUAUCAAUUGCUUCAGGUGUUUGUCCUGCUUGUGCUCCCACUUGAUCAUCAGAAUCGGGGCUCAAAACAUGAACUUCCAAAGAAUCUCUUACAGGAUGGCCAUCUUCUGAAAAAUAUCGGUGAUGAUGUAAAGUUUCUUCAUUCAUGUCCAUUUGAAGAACUUCA
RNAcentral lists this long non-coding RNA (879 nucleotides) under Cucumis sativus (cucumber). Its description in RNAcentral is "long non-coding RNA (CSAT_LNC002166)". Lineage: Eukaryota; Viridiplantae; Streptophyta; Magnoliopsida; Cucurbitales; Cucurbitaceae. The record is from RNAcentral.